GUCUUUUGAGUAUGUUUUAGUACACUUGCCUUCCAAGUAAGAAGAUUAGAUUAUUUUAAAGAAGCGCA
Molecule: transfer RNA, 68 nt
Filed under: Coralliophila richardi
Lineage: Eukaryota; Metazoa; Mollusca; Gastropoda; Neogastropoda; Muricidae
Description: tRNA-Gly
Source: RNAcentral